CGUAGAUGUGAGGGAUGAUCCCGCAUGCGACACGUCUGGCGACAAUAGAAUGCGCCGACACGCUGAUAAAGCUUAUAGCAUAAAGCGUGCAGCGUCCAUGUGCACCUUGUACAUGUGUCUCUGUACAUGAGUGUAGCCUGGGCCUUGGGCAUAUCGUUUGAAACUAGGCCAAGGCGAACCAGAAUGGAAUGGACAGCCAAAGCGUGAAAGAGGGAAAAAAAAAUAAAACAUUGUUUGAAGAGGAGGAGAAGAGGAGGGGUAAGUAAUUGAGGAAGAAGAGGAAUUUUGCGAAAAACAGGCAUAAAUGACAGAUUGACGGGAGAAAUGAGUGGAUUCGGAAGCGCAUAAGCGCGUAAUCGAGGCGUUAUUUAUCCUUACCUUUGCA
Molecule: long non-coding RNA, 385 nt
Organism: Neodiprion virginianus
Lineage: Eukaryota; Metazoa; Arthropoda; Insecta; Hymenoptera; Diprionidae
Exons: 3
Source: RefSeq, a predicted model, not a curated record